Acanthosepion pharaonis is the source of this 103-nucleotide non-coding RNA. NCBI's taxonomy places the organism in Eukaryota, Metazoa, Mollusca, Cephalopoda, Sepiida, Sepiidae. The record is from the annotation of a GenBank genome assembly.
UUACGGCCACAUCAACUUGAAACACCGGUUUCCGUACGACCAUCGAAGUUAAGCAACGUCGAGCCUGGACGGGUGACCGCUUGGGAAUACCAGUUGCUGUAAG